CGCCCAGGCCGCCCCCGAAGCUCCCAAGUGAACCCACCGUAUUUUCCUUAUAUGAUCGGGCUCCCGGGCGGGGGAGGGUUCGGCGCUGGGAGCCUGAAAUGAUUAUGGUACAAGGACCGCAGGGGAUGGGAGGCUUGGGG
RNAcentral lists this non-coding RNA (140 nucleotides) under Phascolarctos cinereus (koala). Lineage: Eukaryota; Metazoa; Chordata; Mammalia; Diprotodontia; Phascolarctidae. The record is from RNAcentral.